GUCUUUUUGAUUAUAAUUUAAAGUCUAGCCUGCCCAAUGAAUUAUUCAAUGGCCGCAGUAUUUUAACUGUGCGAAGGUAGCAUAAUAAUUAGUUUUUUAAUUGAGAACUGGUAUGAAUGGCUGGACGAGAAAAUAGCUGUCUCAAUUUAAUUUAAAUUAGAAUUUUAUUUUUAAGUUAAAAAGCUUAAAUUUUUUUAAAAGACGAGAAGACCCUAUAGAGUUUUAUAUUAAAAUUAUAUUUAAUUUAUAAAGUAUUUGUUUUAUUUUAUUUAAUUUUAGUAUUUUAUUGGGGUGAUAUAAAAAUUUAAUAAACUUUUUAUUUUUUAAAACAUUAAUAUAUGAUUAAAUGAUCCAUUUUUUAUGAUUAAAAGAUUAAAUUACCUUAGGGAUAACAGCGUAAUUUUUUUUUAGAGUUCUUAUCGAAAAAAAAGUUUGCGACCUCGAUGUUGGAUUAAAA
Molecule: ribosomal RNA, 457 nt
Filed under: Aphodius nigrivittis
Lineage: Eukaryota; Metazoa; Arthropoda; Insecta; Coleoptera; Scarabaeidae
Description: partial 16S ribosomal RNA
Source: RNAcentral